This 620-nucleotide ribosomal RNA is filed under the name Celeribacter sp. Its description in RNAcentral is "bacterial SSU rRNA". It matches the Rfam family "Bacterial small subunit ribosomal RNA", at positions 111 to 767 of the family's 1533-position model. The record is from RNAcentral. Lineage: Bacteria; Pseudomonadati; Pseudomonadota; Alphaproteobacteria; Rhodobacterales; Roseobacteraceae.
UAACGCGUGGGAACGUACCCUUCACUACGGAAUAGUCCCGGGAAACUGGGUUUAAUACCGUAUACGCCCUUCGGGGGAAAGAAUUUCGGUGAGGGAUCGGCCCGCGUUAGAUUAGUUAGUUGGUGGGGUAAUGGCCUACCAAGACUACGAUCUAUAGCUGGUUUGAGAGGAUGAUCAGCAACACUGGGACUGAGACACGGCCCAGACUCCUACGGGAGGCAGCAGUGGGGAAUCUUAGACAAUGGGGGCAACCCUGAUCUAGCGAUGCCGCGUGAGUGAUGAAGGCCUUAGGGUCGUAAAGCUCUUUCGCCUGUGAUGAUAAUGACAGUAGCAGGUAAAGAAACCCCGGCUAACUCCGUGCCAGCAGCCGCGGUAAUACGGAGGGGGUUAGCGUUGUUCGGAAUUACUGGGCGUAAAGCGCACGUAGGCGGAUUAGUCAGUCAGAGGUGAAAUCCCAGGGCUCAACCCUGGAACUGCCUUUGAUACUGCUAGUCUUGAGUUCGAGAGAGGUAAGUGGAAUUCCGAGUGUAGAGGUGAAAUUCGUAGAUAUUCGGAGGAACACCAGUGGCGAAGGCGGCUUACUGGCUCGAUACUGACGCUGAGGUGCGAAAGUGUGGGGA